UUCAUGAUGACACUCUAUAUCAUUGCAUAGUUCACACUGAAACUAUCGUGUUGAAAAACAAGCAUCUGUCUUUCGCUCCUAUCUGA
This 86-nucleotide small nucleolar RNA is filed under the name Trametes pubescens. RNAcentral's name for it is "Small nucleolar RNA snR60/Z15/Z230/Z193/J17". It matches the Rfam family "Small nucleolar RNA snR60/Z15/Z230/Z193/J17". From Rfam's summary of the family: The members of this family belong to the C/D class of snoRNAs which contain the C (UGAUGA) and D (CUGA) box motifs. Most of the members of the box C/D family function in directing site-specific 2'-O-methylation of substrate RNAs. Lineage: Eukaryota; Fungi; Basidiomycota; Agaricomycetes; Polyporales; Polyporaceae. The record is from Rfam by way of RNAcentral.